UUUGAAAAUCUGAUCUUCAAAAUGGAGGAAAGAAUGUUGCUCUCAUUGAUGGUCUUUUCCUCACUCGUAGUAUUAGCAGAAACUAUUGCUCAAAAGCCUGCUAUUGAAAUCUACAGCCUCCACGUGGACUGCAAAGUUACAUCACGAUUUGCCCACACCAUCAUCACCAGCAAAAUUGUCAACCGAGCUAAUGAGUCCAAAGAAGCAACCUUUGAAGUGGAGUUACCCAAGACAGCCUUCAUCACCAACUUCUCCAUGUCCAUCGAUGGUAAAGUAUACCCAGGAAUCAUAAUGGAGAAAGCUUCUGCUCAAAAGGAAUAUGAUGUUGCAGUCUCACGCGGGCAGAGCGCUGGCCUUGUCAAAAUCACAGGCAGAAAACUGGAGCAGUUUCACGUGUCCAUCAGCGUUGCAGCCUCCAGCAAAGUCACUUUUGAGCUGACAUAUGAGGAACUAUUGAAGCGGCAGCUGGGGAAGUUCGAGCUGCUAAUCAAGGUCCAACCAAAGCAGCUUGUUAAGCAUUUCCAGAUUGAUGUACACAUCUUUGAGCCCCAAGGCAUACGUUUCUUGGAGACAGACAGUACCUUCAUGACUAAUGAGUUAUCUGAGGCACUCACCACAGUACAGAGUGUAAAAAAGGCUCAUAUUUUAUUUAAGCCAACUGUAGAUCAACAGAAGGCAAAUCCUGAACUCAAUGAAACCCUUCUCAACGGUGACUUUAUUGUGCGUUAUGAUGUCGAGAGAGGUGCCACUGCUGGUGAUAUACAGAUUGUCAAUGGGUAUUUUGUGCAUUACUUUGCACCUCGUGAAAUGCCAGUGAUUCCCAAAAAUGUCGUCUUUGUUAUAGAUGGAAGUGGCUCCAUGGCAGGCAGAAAAAUUGAGCAGACCAGGGGUGCCCUGUUGAAGAUUUUGCAAGACCUCCGCCCCGAAGAUCAUUUCAGCUUUAUCACCUUUAAAAGCAGAGUGAUGGAGUGGAAGAGCAAUUUGCUGCAAGCCACUCCAGAGAACCUGGCGAGUGCUGCAGGAUUCGUGCAAACUCUUUCUGCUAGUGGAGGCACAGACAUCAACGGUGCCCUGCUGACGGCCGUGAGCAUGCUGGAGAAAGCUGAGGGGCUGCCAGAGCGGAGCAUCUCCAUGAUUAUUCUGCUGACAGAUGGCCAGCCCACUUCUGGUGAGAGGAAUGUGGAAGUAAUUCAAGAAAACAUUCAGAAAGCAAUCAAUGGGAAAUAUGCUCUUUUCUGCCUUGGCUUUGGGUUUGAUGUCAGUUAUAAAUUCCUGGAGAAAAUGGCCCUAAGCAAUGGAGGAAUAGCACGUCGGAUAUAUGAAGAUGCGGAUGCAGCCUUGCAGCUCCAGGGCUUUUAUCAAGAGGUGGCUACCCCAAUAUUAAUGAAAAUUGAAAUGCAGUAUCCAGAAAAUGCUAUUGAAGGAUUAACCAAGAACAAUUUCGAACUGUUUUUUGAAGGAUCUGAAAUUAUAGUAUCUGGAAAAAUUAGUAAUGACCUUGAUCUUUUGCCAGUAGAAAUUAAAGCUCAGACACAUACUAGUGACUUGACUCUUAAAGAAGCAGCAAAUGUUGAAGAGAAGGAGCAAAUAUUUCAAAAUCAGAGUUACAUCUUUGGAAAUUUCAUAGAGAGACUGUGGGCUUACUUAACCAUUCAGCAGCUUCUGGAAAAAUCUAUUUCAGCACAAGAAGAGGACCAGAAAAAACUGAAGGCACAAGCCUUAGAGCUGUCUCUGCAGUACAGCUUCGUUACACCCCUCACUUCCAUGGUGGUCACCAAACCUACUGGCCAUCAGCAGAUGGAGCUGGCCAACAAACCCACGGAAGCUGAGAAUGAGAAGCUCCGCAGUAUUCCAGUAAGAGCUCAUCAAGGACUGAGGAGUGGAGCUGCUGUUAUUUCAGCUGUCAGGCUAAGAGAAAGAAUGAGAGUACAACCUACUGCCAUUGAAUAUCCACAGCUUAUCUUGCAAUUACCCCAACAAAAUGAAAUAAUCUGCUUAAAUACUGGUGGAAAAGCACAACCCUCUGUUCACCUGCUGUCAGAUCCAGAGCACGGACUCACUGUGACGGGGAAACUUGGGGACAGAACAAAUCACUUUGUGCAUUUUGAAAUUACCUACAUGAACCCCCCUGCACAAAUCCACAUCUCCAUGGAUGAGAUUGUCCUCAGCCAUAAUAACGAGAGCACUCGGAUGCCAUGGACAAAGUCAGCCACCUCCACUGUCCAAGGGCUGAAAGUCUCAGUGGAAAAGGAAAGGAGUGUCACAGCACUGUUGACUGAUACAGUCACAGUAACAGUUUCCUUUAUAAAGUUUCCAGAUGGUUUCCUUGGGCUGUAUUUCCUGAACACAGACCGUUUUUCUGACAAAGUCAGUGGAGUUCUGGGUCAAUUUUAUUCAAAAGCACAAUUUGAGAAUAAUUCCAACAUCAGUCAGAGAGCUGAUGAAAGACUCCUGAAUGUGUCUGGACUUGAGCACAAAGCCACCAGCAGUGUCAAUGGGAGUUUCUCAGGCUGCCUCUGAAGCCACACAAAAGCAGACUGCAGCCCCUGGGGUCAACUUCUGGGUGACAAUUUGGCCACAGCCAACAAGAUUCCUGCCACUUCCACAGAUGUGCCUCAUCCCUACAAACACCCUGUAUAGCCAUGAGUUUGGAGGAAGUUAUAGUUGUUUAAAACAGAUUGGAAACAAUAUAGUCUGUAUGAACACCAUCUAUCAGCCCAGCUCCAUUGUUAUGAACAAACCAGCAAGGAAUAUCAACACCGUGUCUAGGAUCUCUUCUGUAAUCCUUCUGCCAGCCCCUGGAAGGGAAAACACAGUCAUGGGAGCAUUGAAGCAGAAACUGCACUACAACAAGGUAAUCUUUGCUAAGGACUUUAUUAUUUUUUACCUUGUUACUCUCAGUUCAUUGUUUUUAACAAUCAUUGUGGCAUCUGGUUUCUUGGGAUCAGAUCCAGGAUGAAUUUCAAGGAUGGUGAAGUCAAUGGGGUGGAAAAACUGUCCUAAAAAUAGAAGCCAAAAUUACCACUUCUGGAAUGUUGCACAUAUUAAAACAAACAAAACAGAAAUCCCAGAACUUCUACAUUCCCAUGCUGUUUUCCAUGUUUUCUCAGGGUUUUCAAUGGAUAUGCAAACACCAAGUUUGGUGUAAGGUUAAACAUAUACUAUGGUAUUAUUUAGUUUUUAUAAACCUGAAUUCUGUGCACAUGUUCUGGAUGUAAGGUCCAACUUUUGAGUGCCCAGGAAGAUUAACCUUUUCUAGAUAUCCUUCAAGAUAUCCACACUUUGUGUCUUAUCUGUUCAGUUGUAUUUAUUAGAUACUCUCAAAGUCUUUAGGUUUUAUUUAUCAAAUAAUGCACAUAUUGAUCUCUCCCAUUUUUUUAUGUGAUUAUGCUCAGAACAAGGAUGACAUAUAAGGAAUUUUUUUACACUCCUGCCAGGAUUAGCUUUCACACUUCCACUUUUGCCCUGCCUGGGCUGGUGCAGGAUGCUGUUGGUGCUUUAGGUGCUAUAAAGAGCACAGAUUUUAGAUUAUUUAGUGAAGUACAGGUGCGAAGUCAGAGAUGAUGAGAGGGGCAACGAGAUGUGUAAGUCAGUGACCUGUGUCACUCUGUACUCACAGGUCAUGUGGCAUUUUGCAAUUUUCUUGCUAUUUGCAAUUUAUACCAUAGCUGAACAACUUAUCUGUGGAGAAGUCCUUUAGCCUGAGAAGACUGGAGCAGAAAAGCAUAAAUAACAUUCUGUCCUUAUUCUGCUCUUUUUCUGUUUGGUUGCAGCACUCUGCAUGACACACAGACCUAAAAUGUACUGCCAUGGAUACCUCAAAGUACAGACUGAGACUGAGAAGUCUUAAGUUCUCAGCAGUUCAUUAUUUUCCACAAUGAUUAAACUUACUGACUUAAAACAAAUGUUUUCUGUCCUUACCUGAUUUCCUAAGUGAAAACUGGAAGGGAAGAGAAAAUGGCUGCUCUCUGUGCAUUUUCCAACAGAGAAUGCAGGCCACCAAACCCUCUGCACUGGCAGAAAAUGGGAUUCCAUGGGGUCAAAUUUUGGAUCCCUGAAUUACCAACUUCACCUUCUUCCAGAGUAAAAAAUGAUAGCUAACAUGAGGAGAGCCUUAGGCUAUACAAGGCAUUCUGUGAUUUUAAUAUAUGCUACUAAAUAAAAAUACACCUUCACAACUUCUUUUCUUACAAGGAUGUACUAAUUGAGGUUUAGUAAAUUUUGUUUGAGAAAACGUGUAUUUUCUCAGAGUGCUUGUACUUAGGUGAUAAGAUGAAAGGAGAGAUCAAACCAUCCAAGAGACUGAAAGAAUAGUGUAGUAAGAAAAAAAGUAUCUAUAGAUGGGAUUUAGUAAGUUAAGGAGGCUUUAAAGAUGCCAGUGAGGGCAAUGGAUGCUAGUGAUUUCAGCAGCAGCAGAGGAAUCUAUAAAAAGAUAAUGCAUAAAGUCUGAGUCCAGUAUAUUUUGUCAGAAAUCUUGAGAGUCAAUCAAUGUCACCUCAGUUCCCUCCACGAUCUCAGUUCAGAAAGACUAAGCACAAGAUUGUGUCUACAAGUCAUGUAGCCUCAUAAGGAAGGGCAAGCAUGCAAACACCAAAAUGGACUAGAUGAUCUUUCGAGGUCCCUUCCAACCCCUAGGAUUCUAUGAUUCUAUGAAGUCAUACCUAAUAAUCCAUGGGUCUGUUCAGACAGCUUAUCACUUUCCAAUGUAUACAGGCCUAGGAAGUCUUGGUGGAGAGGGUGUUUCUUCCAUACUUGGUGCAAAACAAUAACAAAUGAGGCACCACUGUCCAUUGUGAGUACCACAUUUUUUUUUCUGUUAAUUAUCAAAGUAAAACUGAGGAAAAAAGAAACACUUGACUUAGGGCAUUGUGCUUCCCAGAGUUCAAAGCAAUGAGAAGAAACUUAAGAAGAAACAUGUCCAACAAACAAACAUGGCUUUACACAUUGCUCAGUGUUCUUUAAAGAAAAGGUUUUGCUGCCUAGCUUGAUCCAUGUGAAUUUCUGUGUGUUCACAGACAGCCCAAGACUCAUGCUAAAUAAAACUGUAAAAGGCCACCUUGCCUUUCAACUUGUCAGCAAGGUGUUUCUACCAAAACUCAUCCUCUAAGAGCGUAAUUAAUCACAAAUAGGCUAGUAAUAUGUACAGACAGCACCUCAUGCUCAGUAAUAAAAAUGUUAUUGACAAAACCAUCACUUCUUUGCCUGGGUGCUGCCUGGCACCUUUCCCUUCUGUUUUACAGAAAAGAGAACUUCUGAACUGACUAGGCUAGUGCCAGAAUAAAGCAGAUUUGCUUCAGAUUGUGUUAGUGAUGAUACCAAUGUGGCUGCCAUAAUAAAAGAAUAAUAAACAUGUUGUGUGAAUAA
Molecule: RNA transcript, 5364 nt
Organism: Apus apus (common swift)
Lineage: Eukaryota; Metazoa; Chordata; Aves; Apodiformes; Apodidae
Gene: ITIH4
Gene name: inter-alpha-trypsin inhibitor heavy chain 4
Exons: 22
Source: RefSeq, a predicted model, not a curated record